GAAAACAACCUAUGGAAUGGGAGAAAAUUUUUGCAAAAGGAAUUAACUUUUUGACUACCUCUUACAUGCCAGGCAUUCUGUUAGGUAGUUCAUAUUAACUGUCUUACCUGAAUUCUGUUAGAAUCCCCUAAGAAAACUCUCACAGGCAUUUUGCAGACGAGGGAAGCUGAGACCAGCUGUUAGAGUGCUUGGAGGUUCAUUUAACUUCUGUCUGUUGAUCUUCGUUUGCUGUGACCCCUGGAAGGACAUUAAAAAAUGAGGCCCCUCUUCUUUUCAAAGCUUUGCACGAGGCCAACAAUACUAUUGAGGAAGCUCCUUCGGUAUGAACUUGGACAAACGAUUCAACAUCUCAGCUGCCUUGGUCUCUGUGCCUGUGACAUAGAGCUGCAGGGAGAGCAGUGGUCUAUACACUCAGGACACCAGCAACUCAAUUCUGUGCAAAAAGCAGCUCUUGGGAAAAUGAAACCACAAGGUCUGGACAGAGGACUUCGUCAAUGCUCUGAUAACUCACUGGACACCAAGCAAAGGGAGUGUCAGCUAAUUGUGAAAACCAGGCCGAGAGGCACAUUCCAGUCUUUAUUUUCCUUUAAACGUGGCCACUGAUUGUGUAACCUUGUGAUAGCUGUUGCUCGCUGGUGCAAACGGGACCAUUCUCUCCACCCACAGAUAGAAGUGGAGGCAGGUGCUCAGGACCCGCGGAUGGGGCUGUCUUGAGACAGCAUCUCUCCUGACAGCCCUUUCCCGGAUCCCUUUCGAUUUUCCCCGGGGACCCAUGCAAGCCUCUCCUUUCCCUGUCUUCCAGAUUCCUCCUCACCCAUGAUGCCAGUUAACCAUAAGGCCGCCCAGGUCAUGGAAUCCAAGAAGUACUUUGGAUUAAGGAGAAAUCACUGGUAAAGUUAACCUUGGAAAAUGUGAUCAACACAGUUCUCUCUGCAUUAGGCUGACCAGAAGAAUAAUUUUGACCUUUAGUGCCAGAAGGAAAUUAAGCUGCUUGACUGAGCCAAAAACAAUAAGUAGUCUUUCAUUAAAGUGUGCCAGGCUUUGACGACGCAUGAGGGAGGCUGCAUGCAGGAAAAAGAAAGUUAACUUUGGACGUUGAGGAGAACAAGGGGAAGAUGCAAGUUGUCUUGUAGCUUUUAGUUUUUCGUAAUGGAUCGAUAAAAUUGCUGUGUGUUUAAAAUAUAUGUAUAUGUUUCUUAUUAAAUCACAGCAUCACAGAGUAUUAUUAAUAAAGGUGGUUUGGAUUCA
This is a non-coding RNA of Vicugna pacos (alpaca), 1248 nucleotides long. The record is from RefSeq and is a predicted model, not a curated record. NCBI's taxonomy places the organism in Eukaryota, Metazoa, Chordata, Mammalia, Artiodactyla, Camelidae.